CGGUCCAGACUCCUACGGGAGGCAGCAGUGGGGAAUAUUGCACAAUGGGCGCAAGCCUGAUGCAGCCAUGCCGCGUGUGUGAAGAAGGCCUUCGGGUUGUAAAGCACUUUCAGCGGGGAGGAAGGCGGUGAGGUUAAUAACCUCAUCGAUUGACGUUACCCGCAGAAGAAGCACCGGCUAACUCCGUGCCAGCAGCCGCGGUAAUACGGAGGGUGCAAGCGUUAAUCGGAAUUACUGGGCGUAAAGCGCACGCAGGC
Molecule: ribosomal RNA, 257 nt
Filed under: Klebsiella pneumoniae
Lineage: Bacteria; Pseudomonadati; Pseudomonadota; Gammaproteobacteria; Enterobacterales; Enterobacteriaceae
Also listed under: 13 other names
Description: partial 16S ribosomal RNA
Rfam family: Bacterial small subunit ribosomal RNA
Source: RNAcentral